RNAcentral lists this ribosomal RNA (492 nucleotides) under uncultured bacterium. Its description in RNAcentral is "partial 16S ribosomal RNA". It matches the Rfam family "Bacterial small subunit ribosomal RNA", at positions 30 to 507 of the family's 1533-position model. The record is from RNAcentral.
AUUGAACGCUGGCGGCAGGCCUAACGCAUGCAAGUCGAACGGCAACACAGUUAGAGCUUGCUCUUACGGGUGGAGAGUGGCGGAAGGGUGAGGAAUACAUCGGAAUCUACUUUUUAGUGGAGGGUAACGUAGGCUAAUUUACGAUGUUACCGCAUACGAACUACGGGUGAACGCACAGCAUUUUCGGACCUUGCGCCUUUGAAUGGGCCGAUGUCGGAUUAGCUAGUUGGUGGGGUAAAGGCCUACCAAGGCGACGAUCCGUAGCUGGUCUGAGAGGAUGAUCAGCCACACUGGAACUGAGACACGGUCCAGACUCCUACGGGAGGCAGCAGUGGGGAAUAUUGGACAAAGGGCGCAAGCCUGAUCCAGCAAUGCCGCGUGGGGGAAGAAGGCCUUCGGGUUGUAAAGCCCUUUUGUUGGGAAAGAAAAGGAGUAGGUUAAUACCGCGCGGUUCUGACGGUACCUGAAGAAUAAGCACCGGCUAACUUCGUG